ACAAGGACAACAUUAUUUGGGUAUGACCAUAUAGGAUUGAAGGGUCAACUUAAUUAGAACACUAUAGUUUGUUGUGCUAUCCAUAAGGCUAUAUGUGAUCUAGAGAUCAAAGAGAAAAAUGUUGAGAAUUAUAGAGGUAUAAUUGAUAAAAAGUUAUCUACUCUUGAACUCAUGAAUACUUAUUAUGCUAUCCACAAGAUAUUUAUGAGGAAUAGGGAUUUCAAUCCCACUAAGAGAUAUUAGUAUGUUUUUCAAUUAUCAUAUUUGAGGGGUAUGAAGUUCGAUAAAAUAGUGGGAGACAUAAUUAGAUAAAAAUCCUAGUUUAGUUGUGAAUAUCAUCAUGAGUCGUUCGCUUAUAUUGUGUUCUUGUUGUUGUAGAUUAACUAUACAUAUGGCAUCCUCACUGUCACUUAGAGGUAUCCUAGAUGCAAACAAGUUGACUGGACCUAACUAUGUCGACUGGUUAAGGAACUUGAGAAUUAUUCUCACUCAAGAGAAAGUCUUCUAUAUUCUGGAUACACCUGCUCCAGAUUCUCUUAGAGAAGAUGCUUUCAAAGAGGAUAGGGCCGC
Molecule: long non-coding RNA, 570 nt
Filed under: Elaeis guineensis (African oil palm)
Lineage: Eukaryota; Viridiplantae; Streptophyta; Magnoliopsida; Arecales; Arecaceae
Description: long non-coding RNA (EGUI_LNC040042)
Source: RNAcentral